Molecule: long non-coding RNA, 307 nt
Filed under: Canis lupus familiaris (dog)
Lineage: Eukaryota; Metazoa; Chordata; Mammalia; Carnivora; Canidae
Description: lncRNA (ENSCAFG00040017407.1)
Source: RNAcentral
CUCCCCGCAGGCGGGAGUGGGGUGGGAGGGGAGCGAGCGCGUUGGUGACGCGGGGCGCUCACGUGACGUGGAGCUGCAGAGCGACGCAGCCUUCGGUGCAGUCGUCACUCCCGUCUGGGUACCUGCUCCCCGGUGUCCUGCGCCCCGCGGGCUGGCGUCAGGCCCGAGGAAAGCGGAGCAGGUCUUCUCGUAGGCCUACAGUAGGGCUGUUUACCACUGGAAGCCAGGGAAAGGGGAAGACUGGCUUGGAACCAUGAAGGUUGGUUUGAAGGUGGGCAGCACUUGAGGAUAACAAGAGGGUGAGCAC